AACCUAGCACACCUGCGGUGUGUACCUGCGGAAGGAUCAUUACACAAUACAAUAUGAAGGCUGUCCGCAGCUGGAGUAUUUUAUUACCCUUGUCUUUUGCGCACUUGUUGUUUCCUGGGCGGGUUCGCUCGCCACCAGGACCACCAAAUAAACCUUUUUUAUGCAGUUGCGAUCAGCGUCAGUACAAACAAUGUAAAUCAUUUACAACUUUCAACAACGGAUCUCAGAUCGGAAGAGCAC
RNAcentral lists this unclassified non-coding RNA (240 nucleotides) under soil metagenome. Its description in RNAcentral is "partial contains 5.8S ribosomal RNA, internal transcribed spacer 2, and large subunit ribosomal RNA". The record is from RNAcentral.